AUUGAACGCUGGCGGCAGGCCUAACACAUGCAAGUCGAGCGGAUGAAGGGAGCUUGCUCCUGGAUUCAGCGGCGGACGGGUGAGUAAUGCCUAGGAAUCUGCCUGGUAGUGGGGGAUAACGUCCGGAAACGGGCGCUAAUACCGCAUACGUCCUGAGGGAGAAAGUGGGGGAUCUUCGGACCUCACGCUAUCAGAUGAGCCUAGCUCGGAUUAGCUAGUUGGUGGGGUAAAGGCCUACCAAGGCGACGAUCCGUAACUGGUCUGAGAGGAUGAUCAGUCACACUGGAACUGAGACACGGUCCAGACUCCUACGGGAGGCAGCAGUGGGGAAUAUUGGACAAUGGGCGAAAGCCUGAUCCAGCCAUGCCGCGUGUGUGAAGAAGGUCUUCGGAUUGUAAAGCACUUUAAGUUGGGAGGAAGGGCAGUAAGUUAAUACCUUGCUGUUUUGACGUUACCAACAGAGUAAGCACCGGCUAACUUCGUG
This 484-nucleotide ribosomal RNA is filed under the name uncultured bacterium. RNAcentral describes it as "partial 16S ribosomal RNA". It matches the Rfam family "Bacterial small subunit ribosomal RNA", at positions 30 to 507 of the family's 1533-position model. The record is from RNAcentral.